GAUGAAGUUGUUGUAUGCUAGCGAGAGGGUCUGGAGUUUAGUGAGAUUGGCGAUAUUUGGUGGGAGCGUGCCGGUGAAGAGGUUGUUGGCUAGGCCGAGUGUUUGGAGUGCGGGAAAGUGGGUGAUGGAGUCGGGGAUGUCGCCGGAGAAGUUGUUGUAGGAGAGGGAGAGAUAGUAGAUGCUGGAUGAGAGACGGUGAAUGUCGGAAGGAAUGGGACCGACGAAAAGGUUUUCGGACAGGUCGAGAUAUGCGAGGG
Molecule: unclassified non-coding RNA, 257 nt
Filed under: Hevea brasiliensis (rubber tree)
Lineage: Eukaryota; Viridiplantae; Streptophyta; Magnoliopsida; Malpighiales; Euphorbiaceae
Source: RNAcentral